CUACGGCAAGCCGUACACAUGCAGUCGAGCGGAAACGAUGGAGCUUGCUCCAGGCGUCGAGCGGCGGACGGGUGAGUAAUGCAUAGGAAUCUGCCCGGUAGUGGGGGAUAACCUGGGGAAACCCAGGCUAAUACCGCAUACGUCCUACGGGAGAAAGCAGGGGAUCUUCGGACCUUGCGCUAUCGGAUGAGCCUAUGUCGGAUUAGCUUGUUGGUGAGGUAAUGGCUCACCAAGGCGACGAUCCGUAGCUGGUCUGAGAGGAUGAUCAGCCACAUCGGGACUGAGACACGGCCCGAACUCCUACGGGAGGCAGCAGUGGGGAAUAUUGGACAAUGGGCGAAAGCCUGAUCCAGCCAUGCCGCGUGUGUGAAGAAGGCUUUCGGGUUGUAAAGCACUUUCAGUGAGGAAGAAGGCCUUGGGGCUAAUACCCCCGAGGAAGGACAUCACUCACAGAAGAAGCACCGGCUAACUCCGUGCCAGCAGCCGCGGUAAUACGGAGGGUGCGAGCGUUAAUCGGAAUUACUGGGCGUAAAGCGCGCG
RNAcentral lists this ribosomal RNA (540 nucleotides) under Halomonas ventosae. RNAcentral's name for it is "bacterial SSU rRNA". It matches the Rfam family "Bacterial small subunit ribosomal RNA", at positions 36 to 571 of the family's 1533-position model. The record is from RNAcentral. Lineage: Bacteria; Pseudomonadati; Pseudomonadota; Gammaproteobacteria; Oceanospirillales; Halomonadaceae.